Molecule: ribosomal RNA, 350 nt
Filed under: Serratia marcescens
Lineage: Bacteria; Pseudomonadati; Pseudomonadota; Gammaproteobacteria; Enterobacterales; Yersiniaceae
Description: bacterial SSU rRNA
Rfam family: Bacterial small subunit ribosomal RNA
Source: RNAcentral
GACGCUGGCGGCAGGCUUAACACAUGCAAGUUCGAGCGGUAGCACAGGGAGAGCUUGCUCCCUGGGUGACGAGCGGCGGACGGGUGAGUAAUGUCUGGGAAACUGCCUGAUGGAGGGGGAUAACUACUGGAAACGGUAGCUUAUACCGCAUAACGUCGCAAGACCAAAGAGGGGGACCUUCGGGCCUCUUGCCAUCAGAUGUGCCCAGAUGGGAUUAGCUAGUAGGUGGGGUAAUGGCUCACCUAGGCCACGAUCCCUAGCUGGUCUCAGUGCAGCCAUGCCGCGUGUUGAAAGAAGGCCUUCGGGUUGUAAAGCACUUUCAGGCAGGAGGAAGGUGAUGAGCUUAAUAC